GCAGUUUUAAAGAGUUGUAUGAAUUAUGGAAUUAAGCCAGCAUUAGAGAAAUAACAGAAAAGAAUCUCUAAAAAUGGCAAUUAAGACGGUUAGAGCAGGAGAAACUUUCGUUUUCCUAAAAGAAUGUAAGGUGAAUGGGGUCUUACCUACCUCAAUAUAUAAGAUCAAGCUACCAGUAAAGUUGAAGAGGCUAUUAAUAAGAAUGAAACAAGUCUACCUUAACGUUGCAAUAUCUGAUGCAAAAAGGGUUUUCUACAAGAGGAAGAAGCAGCUGAUGGCAUUGAGGAAAGAUUUGAGGAUGAGGAGGAAUUGGGUUUUCUUGAUUUACUAGAAACCCACACGGGAAGCCUAAAGGAGAAGCUAAGGUGACAGCACUUUAAGACGUUUAGAUGGAUCUUAAAAAACUAGGUGCCAAAAAAAAGAAAAAGGACUUUUCAUAUUGAAGAAGUAUUGACAGUAGUCGGUGAUAUACAGGUACCAGAUUUUGUUACUAAAGUGUUAGUGAAAGGGCCUUACCGAAAUCUUCGCCUCGUAUGCUUUACCGAAAUGUUCAGGAGUGGAAGACGAUAUCCCAAUAAUUGAGACCCUGAUUGAAAAUUAUGAGGAGUUAGACAAGGAAAGUUUAAGGUGGGAGUUUGUGCGCCAGAGGAAUGGGAAGAGGA
Molecule: long non-coding RNA, 662 nt
Filed under: Androctonus crassicauda
Lineage: Eukaryota; Metazoa; Arthropoda; Arachnida; Scorpiones; Buthidae
Source: RNAcentral